Molecule: non-coding RNA, 2284 nt
Organism: Hypanus sabinus (Atlantic stingray)
Lineage: Eukaryota; Metazoa; Chordata; Chondrichthyes; Myliobatiformes; Dasyatidae
Source: the annotation of a RefSeq genome assembly
ACAGAAAAUGUGUUGGUUAUAGUCAUGCAUUUCAGAGAAUACUGUUGAAUUGAAAUGAUUAAAUCUGUGAGUUGAAUGUGUUCUAAGACAUUGAAGUUCACUUCUCAGGUAAGGAGCAACACCAGGUAUUGAAAUGGUAAAGUCAGUUAAUGUAGUUUGACACUUGUCAAGUUCGGUGAUGAUGUCAUCAGUCUGGGACAGAACAACACACAACGUGAGGGAGCAUGGAAGCGAAAAUAAGAAAAAAAGACACGUUCAGAGCAUAAAGGAUCGAGUCAUGAUAUAUGUACUGUCUAAUUAAUACUAAGAUAGGUUGCAAAUACACAACACCACCUUCUUGAGGCACCCCCUGUUGAAGGUGUCAUCAACACUGGACGGUGCUCGGUGCCCAUGAUAGAGCUGGCUGAGUUUACAACUUUCUGCAGCUUUUACCGAUUGUGAAGUAGUUAGAAUGUUCUCCAUGCUACAUCUGUAGAAAUCUGCGAGAGUCUUUACUGACAUACCAAAUGUACUCAAACUCCAAAUGAGAUGCAGCCACUGUCAUGUCUUCUUUGUGAUUGCAUCAAUAUGCUGGACCAAGGACAGAUCAUCAGAGAUAUUAACACCCAGGAACUGGAAACUGCUCACCCUUUCCACUGCUGAUCCCUCAAUGAAGACUGGUGUGUGUUCCCACGACUUCCCCUUCCUGAGACAGGAAGGUUUCAGGAAAUGUUGUCUUUGGUCAGAAACUGCAUUUCUCAUUGCAAUUCACAGCUCCGAUACUGCAUUUUAUUGGCAUUCCAGCAGCUAAAUGUCACGUAGCUGGGCCACUGACCUGCAGUCCCUGCUGUGACCUGACUGGCUCCUUGAUGUUUGAUUUUGUUUUCUCAGUCAAAGGUUGUAAGCAGAGAUGAGCAACCCACUCUGCAAACAAACCUGAUUUCAUUCCAAUGUACAAUUCUGUACAAAUUGAGCUUCAGGAUGAGUCUGAGCUGAAGUUGCCAAGCCAGCUGACAGCAGAUAUUGUCCAGUUUGUAAAUUUUCUAUUUCUCAUCUACAGAGUUGUCUGUCUUUAUCCAAAAUCCCUCCAUUGAAGAGAUGUGGAUCAACCAGACCGCUACUCUGGUGUGUAUGAUUGUGGGUGCUGAUCUGAGCCAGGUCCAAAUCCACUGGCAGGUGAACGAGGGGGAGAAAAUCAAAGCAAACGUGACCAAAAAUCUGAGAGAGGAAGGAACCCGAGACACAGUGAUCAGCCAACUCCAGACCAGUGUGGAGGAGUGGGCCAGUGGGAUGGAGUACACUUGCUCUGCCCAACAACCUUCUUCAACCUCACCAGUAUCAGCACGGAGAAAAAGUACCAAAGUUCCAGUGGAGACAAAAGGUCCCAAAGUCAGACUGCUGCCACCACCAGAGGGGGAGACCAAGAGUGGGAACAUGGUCACCCUCGAGUGUGUUGCCUCUGGAUUCUACCCGAACCAAAUAACCAUCACCUGGGAGAAAGGGGACUCUCUGAUCUCUUCCAACAUCAGUGUGAGACCAGCUGCUCUGGAACAGGCAGGGACUUUCAUUGCCAGCUACGUCCUGACCGUGAGACCAGAGGAGUGGAAGGAAGGCUCAGUUUUCAGAUGCACAGUGUCUCAUCCCCCCUCCAACACCAGCGUCAGGCUGGAUGUGAAAAACAUUCAAGAAACCUGCACAGACUUGACAGGAGAGGAGGGGAAGGAAGAACAGGGACACGUGGAUGGAGAUGACAAUGUGCCUACAGUUGCUGCCUUUGCCGUUCUGUUCAUCAUCAGUUUCCUCUACAGCACCUUCGUCACCGUUGUCAAGGCUCAGCAGUGACCAACAGAUACACACCCCACAUUCAGACAAGAGAUCCCCGUGUGGCUGCGAUGUUUAGAAAUGGAGUCUCCAUCUCACUCACUCGGCAAUCCGAGGCUACUGCACUGCAACUGCUCAUUUCAGAAAAUAAACCUCUAAAUGCACCGGGGAUGCCAGAUGGGAAAUGGGGGCACAGAGCCGGUUAGGUGGGCGGAGGGACAGCAGUGGAUGAUACAUUGGAAAAAUGGCAGGAUAUGUGACACUGGAGGGGGUAUACAGGAGGGGAGAGGAAGCUAAUGUUAAGGCUUGGGAAUGGGGAGCAGGGGAUGAGGGUGUAGUUUGUGAUGGAGAGGAGGGAGGUGAGGAAGAAGGUAAAAUGAGAGGGGGAGUGUGGUGGAGAGUGGGUUUGAGAUCUUGCUCUGUCAAAUUUUGUAAAUCAGAUGUUGUGGAAACCAUUGCCUGUAGCUUUUCCUUCAGUUUUCUG